Molecule: ribosomal RNA, 478 nt
Filed under: uncultured bacterium
Lineage: Bacteria
Description: partial 16S ribosomal RNA
Rfam family: Bacterial small subunit ribosomal RNA
Source: RNAcentral
GACGAACGCUGGCGGCGUGCUUAACACAUGCAAGUCGAACGGUAAGGCCCUUCGGGGUACACGAGUGGCGAACGGGUGAGUAACACGUGGGUGAUCUGCCCUGCACUUCGGGAUAAGCCUGGGAAACUGGGUCUAAUACCGGAUAGGACCACUGCCUGCAUGGGUGGUGGUGGAAAGCUUUUGCGGGGUGGGAUGGGCCCGCGGCCUAUCAGCUUGUUGGUGGGGUGAUGGCCUACCAAGGCGACGACGGGUAGCCGGCCUGAGAGGGUGACCGGCCACACUGGGACUGGGAUACGGCCCAGAAUCCUACGGGAGGCAGCAGUGGGGAAUAUUGCACAAUGGGCGCAAGCCUGAUGCAGCGACGCCGCGUGGGGGAUGACGGCCUUCGGGUUGUAAACCUCUUUCAGCACCGACGAAGCGCAAGUGACGGUAGGUGCAGAAGAAGGACCGGCCAACUACGUGCCAGCCGCCGCGGUAA